Molecule: ribosomal RNA, 253 nt
Filed under: uncultured bacterium
Lineage: Bacteria
Description: partial 16S ribosomal RNA
Rfam family: Bacterial small subunit ribosomal RNA
Source: RNAcentral
UACGUAGGGGGCAAGCGUUGUCCGGAAUCAUUGGGCGUAAAGCGCGUGUAGGCGGUUCGGUAAGUCCGCUGUGAAAGUCGGGGGCUCAACCCUCGGAUGCCGGUGGAUACUGUCGAGCUUGAGUACGGAAGAGGCGAGUGGAAUUCCUGGUGUAGCGGUGAAAUGCGCAGAUAUCAGGAGGAACACCAAUUGCGAAGGCAGCCCCCUGGGCUAAGAUUGACGCUCAGGCACGAAAGCGUGGGGAGCAAACAGG